Molecule: ribosomal RNA, 666 nt
Filed under: Triticum aestivum (bread wheat)
Lineage: Eukaryota; Viridiplantae; Streptophyta; Magnoliopsida; Poales; Poaceae
Description: partial small subunit ribosomal RNA
Source: RNAcentral
AUGACCCAUGAGAUGGCCACAGCUAUUUUUCGUAGACUUGGUCAAAUUGAUAUGUUAUUCUCGAAGGACACUCCCGGACACAUAUGGAGGAAAUUUGUUGAACCAGACUUUGCGACAACUGUUUUGGCGAAUGCUGACCCACUGACGGUUCAAUCUAUUAGGACUAGUUUCCAAGAAGGAACUGCAUCUUGCAACCCAGCUUCAUGCCGGAUGUGGUACAUCCCGGCGAUCCUACCUGAUAGUUGGACAGUAUAUGCAUUUGAUAUGCUCAGAAAAAGGAUCAUCGUGCUAGACCCAGCUGUAGGGCCGUUUGGUUAUAGCAAUCGCCGAGUAAGCAUGCAUGAAUUUGUUAGCAACAAACUCCAUGCUGCUUUGUUCAACUGUCUGGAGAAAUUCUUCAGCUCAUGGCACUGUGAAUCAAGCCAUUGGGGGCGCACUUUUCCUAUCGUAAUGAGGGAAAAGAUUGAUAAGGAUCAGACUGGGCUGUGUGCCACAUUCUUUGCCUGGAACUACGACGGCGACAAACUACAGAUACCACUAAACAAGGACACGCUAUCAUUGCACAGCAGCUUGAUGAUAUAUGAACUAAUGAGGAUGCAAGGGAACCAAACUUCAGUGGCUAACGACGCCCUCGAAGCUGUCAAAGCGUCAUUCACAGCCCUAUAA